This is a long non-coding RNA of Falco tinnunculus (common kestrel), 2516 nucleotides long. The record is from Ensembl. NCBI's taxonomy places the organism in Eukaryota, Metazoa, Chordata, Aves, Falconiformes, Falconidae.
GACCAAACAGCUCCAACACAGGUAAGCACUCCCCCACUGCUCACUCCGCCCUCUUCCCGAAUGAGUUUCCUGCUUCUGUGGGACAGACCUGGGAGAGCUGCAACAGAGCAGAAGGUGUGUGAUCGUCUAGAAAUUGCUUUGGAUUCAGAACCUGGGAAAACGAGGUUCUAGUUUUCUGCUCAGAAUUUGUACCACGGGAUCUUCCAUCGUUUCCUAUCUUCCCACAUUCACUAGUUUCCAGCUUUUAGUUUCAACAGAAACCUUUGCUGCCUCCCUACCAGAAAAUUCAAAAGGAGGAAGGGAGAGUUUUACUGGUGUCCCAUACUCAGGUCUGAAGGGGAAGAAGCGGGGGCAAAAGAGCUUGCACAUUUUUCCUUGUGAUGAAGAGAGAAGUUAAAGCAUGACUGCUCCUACCUACCAAACCCCCUCUCUGAUGUCUGUCCCCUUAACCGCUCACCUGUUGUCAGCUGCCUGCUGCCUCCUUUCUUGCCAUGUGGUUAGAGACACACUGGAAGAACAUCCGCCAAACCCUGCUGCUUCUGUUCACCGCUGCUCUUCUCAUCGGGGUCACCAUGCUGGCCAUCUCAUCUAACAUCAACCCAGUGGGCUAUUUCUUCCUGGGGGUAGGGGGCGUGUGCCUCAUCGGCUACUUGCUGAGUGUGUUUGUCGAGUGUUACCUGAGCAAUCAGCACCGACGUGAUGCGAAUGAGACGCCUCCAAAUAGGCAAAGCCAAGCAGGGGUGAACGCUGCCUACGAAGCGCCCACCUAUGAGGAGGUGAUGACCACAUCAGUUCCAGCGAUAUGGACGAUUGCCUCCAACCCAGGCUCGGUGCCCUCCCCGCUGAACGAGCCUCCUCCUUACAACGCAGUUAUUGAAUCGUCCUCCCGAGAGGAGAUGACGGUGGAGGCUCUCAGGGUGUCGGUGGCAUCAGAGCCCGAGGCAGGCGCAGGCUCCAGGCUCCAGCUGCAGCUGGUGCUGCCCCCAAGGCUGCAGCGCUUUGUUUCCGACAUCCAUGAAGUGAAAGGCAUUGAGGAGAGGUUUGAGCCGCUGGCGCCACUCACUCCACCACCUGCUUAUGAGACUGCCAUCAAUGAUGAUGUCUUCGAAGAUGCUUUCCAGCCUACCAUGCUAUGAUUAAUUUCACCUUCCGUGACUGCAGAACCAAUCCUCCACCCCAAUACAGGAUGGUCCUAGAGGGAAGGUGAAAGAGCUGAGAUUUUUCACACCUGGAACUGCAGAAGUUUGUCUCACCAUUCUUACAACCAGAGUGGAGAGACAGACGCAGCUUCUAAUGUCACUAGAAUCUUUUUGCACAAAAUAUCAAUCAAUGCAAUACCACAACACUGUCUCGGCAGAUACAUAGAACCACUGUGAGGACAGUUGUGUUCUCAGUGGCACCAGUUCUCAAACAGGAGAUGCACCUUCCUGGGGGAGGAGAGGGAACCACGAGAGAGGACAAGGUUGCCAAAGGACCUCUGAAGGACUGUGGGAUGCAGCCAGAAGCUGCCUGGGGAAGGGGGGGGGGGGACAGAAGCUGCACCGAGGCAGUUCUACCUGCGCAUUGCAAACAGCAGCACUGCUGAGAGCUGUGCAGUCACCAGCCACCCUAAAAUCCCUGCAGAGUGACCGAGGCUGCUGUUUCACAGCAAUACAGAUCUAUGGUCUGUGCUGCUUGUUGCUACUCCCCUGUUGCACCUUCUCCACAUCCUCGCUGCACUGCGUGGGAGCGCAGCUGGGGGGAGGCUGGUGGGCCUCCUUCAUCUGCCUGGUACCUGGCAUUUGGGGUUGAAGCGCUGAAGGCAAACGUGGCACCAGGAAUGACUUCUGUGGUUCACCAGGUCCUCAUCCCACCCGGCCCGCCAUGGUGGGCAAGAGGGAGAUAAUAGCAAUGUGUCACCCAUGAGAGUGGCCAGCAGUGGGAUGCACCCACAGAGGCAUCCUCUGCCUGCACUGCUGCCCUUCACAGCCCCACGGGGGAGGGGAGGGGGUUCUGCUGCCCUACAGACCCACCCAAGCAGGUGGCUCUCUGUACUUCACUGUCCUCAUGGCCAGCGUUUGUGCAGAAAGGCACACGCUCCUCCCAUUCUCUGUAGCUGUGCACGGAAGCUUCUUGUCAGCCCCAGGAGGGGCCACCUGCCUGCUGAGGCCACAGCCGAGGGCACCUGAGUCACAGCCCCAGCGCGCUCGCCGUCCUUGUCACGGUGGCUCUGCGUCACAGCCAGUGCAAGCUGCCAGCGAGUGACACUGGCAGGCUCUGCAGCGUCACGGCCGUCUGCAGUACACAGACUGACACAGGCCUGGGCAAUGUCCAAAGCAAAAAUAAAAAUGCGGUGGCCUGAACCUCCUCAUGGUGGGGAGCAGCAGCUGUCACAGCCUUGUCUCAUGCAACUGCAUUGUCUGUAAUUCAUAUGAGGAACCAUCAAACCGUAAGCAAAUAAAUUAUUUCUUGUUUCUUUAUAGUUCAAAGGAAAAAAAAAGACCUUUAAUGUUGUUUACAAAUAAAUGAGACUGUAU